This is a non-coding RNA of Paramormyrops kingsleyae, 811 nucleotides long. Lineage: Eukaryota; Metazoa; Chordata; Actinopteri; Osteoglossiformes; Mormyridae. The record is from RefSeq and is a predicted model, not a curated record.
CUUCUCAACCUUCCUGCCCCCUAAACACACAGUAAUGCCACAAUAUCGGUAAGGCCAUGUCCCUACUGAUACCCAAAUCAACACCUUUGGGCUUUUGUAAUUGUAUAUUCUGUUAAUAUAUGUAAUAUGUAUAAAUAAUUUUUGACAGCUGUGUAAUUGAAUUGAAUUUUGCACUUCGUCAGUGCAUGAAAAUGAUGGUUGUUCCAUUGCAGUUCUAAUGCUCAGUCGACCAGUAACUGAACAUUAUUUAUUUUGAGGGAAAUAAGUAUCCAACUAUAAUGGUCCAUCCAUCCAUCCAUCCAUCGCCUUGACCCAGUACGGGGUCAUAGUGAGCCUGUCCCAGGCAGAGGAAGACUAGGAACUCCUCAGAUACGACGCUGGUCCGACGCCACGGAUGUGGAACCGCAUGAGAACCGCCGGCAACACAGACGCAAGUCAGCCCUCCUGAUGUCCCGGUAGCGGGAGACGCAGAUCCAGGAAAAAACCAGAACAUCCAGUAAGACCCACGUGACCAUGUGGGGAGCAGGCAAAAGUCACACAUGUGGAACUAGGAUGGGAAUCGAAUCCAUAACCCUGGAGCCGAAUUAAAAAAAAAACAGAUGAAUUCACCAGUAAACAUGGCAUGAACCAGCUAGUAUAUCUCUGGACCCUUAUGCUCCUUCAGAAAUGCUCUCCUGGAAGAAGAUCAUACUGGAAGCCUUCCCACCAGCCUGCUCCCCCCCCCACGUGAGAAUCAGAUGGGCACCUGGGAGAGAGUGGGCGGCCGAGGGGGCGGGGCUCAGAACAUGCCUUGUGUCCGCAUCCCGGAGUG